AUUUAUAGAGAGGCCUUUCCAGAACACUGGUCACUGGAAGGAUGGACUGUUUGCUAUCCACAACAAUGGAUGCAGCGAGACGGUGUGAAUUGUGGUGUAUUUGUUUGCACUGCAGCAGAAAUGGAAGCAAAAAAAAUGAAAAUGUCCUCAGAAGUGCUGCAGCCUCGUCAACUCGUGCACCUUCGUGUUCAUCAUGCCACAAGCAUGUUAACAGAUGUGGCAAUAGAGGUAAGAUAAAGGGGAAAUAACGAGUUUCAAUAGAAUUCAGACUAAAAGAGAAUAUUAUAUUAACACAAGUUUACAUGGACAGGACUUUCCGACUGUAAUUGGAGAAAGAGAGGAAAGUGAAAUUGAAAGCAACAUCUGCAUGGCCCAGGACAUACAAGCCUGUGUUUAUCAAAACACAAGAAAAAAGUAAGUAGAAUUCAAAUAAAUAACAAUGUAGUUGUAAAUGGAUAACGAAGCUUUAAAUUUACAGUAUUUUGUGUUUUUAGAACCCUUCAUCCACACAUCAGACAAAUACAGUGGAUUCAAUGUGAUGUGUGCAACAAAUGGUUGCACACAGACUGUGCUGGUGUAGAACCUGCAACAAUUUUACCUGACUGACUUACAACUGUGGAUGUAACCAAAAACAUCCAUAUUCUUAUCAAAGGUAAGCAUCAUAAACAUAACACAAAUCAUACCAUAAUAAACUACCUUUUUAUGCAUAUGUCUGUUUUACAGCACUGUCGAAGCUUUGAAAGAGGGACUUCUGGUUGACACUGUGGUGAAGGAUGAAGAAAUUGUGGUAAUUGAACAUUUAAACUUAAUGGCAAAGAAACAUGUUUGUAUGAGUCAAUAUUUAUUUAUCAAUACUAACUUCUAUAGAUAAGCACAGUUAUUGAUAAACAACUAGUAAUAUUGUGCUGUUAAAGGACUUAUUGUUUUAAUUUUUUAGAAACUGCAUCAGGACCUCACAUCUGGUGCCUUACGUUCUCAGAGAAUGUUUCUCUUUACACAUCCUAAUUAUGCACCAAAACUAAAAAACCAGUGCAACCUACUGAUCUCAGUAUUUAACGAAAAACAGACUGAGGGAAUUAUUAACACUGUUUACAGUGUUUUGGAUUUGAAAAAAACAGAUCUGUCAAGUCCUUCUUAUGCUAUGGAAGUCAUGACCC
Long non-coding RNA from Triplophysa rosa, 1157 nucleotides. RefSeq lists it as uncharacterized. The record is from RefSeq and is a predicted model, not a curated record. The transcript has 3 exons. NCBI's taxonomy places the organism in Eukaryota, Metazoa, Chordata, Actinopteri, Cypriniformes, Nemacheilidae.